GACGAACGCUGGCGGCGUGCUUAACACAUGCAAGUCGAACGAUGAAGCCGGAGCUUGCUCCGGUGGAUUAGUGGCGAACGGGUGAGUAACACGUGAGCAAUCUGCCCUUGACUCUGGGAUAACUGCGGGAAACUGUAGCUAAUACCGGAUACGACACCUUGGGGCAUCCCAGGGUGUGGAAAGAAUUUCGGUCAAGGAUGAGCUCGCGGCCUAUCAGCUAGUUGGUGAGGUAAUGGCUCACCAAGGCGACGACGGGUAGCCGGCCUGAGAGGGUGACCGGCCACACUGGAACUGAGACACGGUCCAGACUCCUACGGGAGGCAGCAGUGGGGAAUAUUGCACAAUGGACGAAAGUCUGAUGCAGCAACGCCGCGUGAGGGAUGAAGGCCUUCGGGUUGUAAACCUCUUUUAGCAGGGAAGAAGCGAAAGUGACGGUACCUGCA
Molecule: ribosomal RNA, 443 nt
Filed under: uncultured Microbacteriaceae bacterium
Lineage: Bacteria; Bacillati; Actinomycetota; Actinomycetes; Micrococcales; Microbacteriaceae
Description: bacterial SSU rRNA
Rfam family: Bacterial small subunit ribosomal RNA
Source: RNAcentral